Molecule: ribosomal RNA, 75 nt
Filed under: Oryza sativa Japonica Group (Japanese rice)
Lineage: Eukaryota; Viridiplantae; Streptophyta; Magnoliopsida; Poales; Poaceae
Description: 18S ribosomal RNA
Source: RNAcentral
UAAAUCAGUUGUCGUUUGUUUGAUUGUACGUGCUACUCGGAUAACUAUAGUGAUUCUAGAGCUAAUGCGUGCAAC